AGACUGCGAUGGGUAGCCGGCCUGAGAGGGUGAACGGCCACACUGGAACCGAGACACGGUCCAGACUCCUACGGGAGGCAGCAGUGGGGAAUAUUGCACAAUGGAGGAAACUCUGAUGCAGCGACGCCGCGUGAACGAUGAAGGCUUUCGGGUCGUAAAGUUCUGUCCUAGGGGACGAUAAUGACGGUACCCUAGGAGGAAGCCCCGGCUAACUACGUGCCAGCAGCCGCGGUAAUACGUAGGGGGCGAGCGUUGUCCGGAUUUAUUGGGCGUAAAGGGUUCGCAGGCGGUCUCUUAAGUUAGAUGUGAAAGAUCACGGCUCAACCGUGGUAAGCAUUUAAAACUGGGAGACUUGAGUUAAGGAGAGGAAAGUGGAAUUCCUAGUGUAGCGGUGAAAUGCGUAGAUAUUAGGAGGAAUACCAGUGGCGAAGGCGACUUUCUGGACUUAUACUGACGCUGAGGAACGAAAGCGUGGGGAGCAAACAGGAUUAGAUACCCUGGUAGUCCACGCCGUAAACGAUGAGUGCUAGGUGUCGGGGGUCAAACCUCGGUGCCGCAGCUAACGCA
RNAcentral lists this ribosomal RNA (567 nucleotides) under uncultured bacterium. RNAcentral's name for it is "bacterial SSU rRNA". It matches the Rfam family "Bacterial small subunit ribosomal RNA", at positions 271 to 859 of the family's 1533-position model. The record is from RNAcentral.